Molecule: ribosomal RNA, 254 nt
Filed under: uncultured bacterium
Lineage: Bacteria
Description: partial 16S ribosomal RNA
Rfam family: Bacterial small subunit ribosomal RNA
Source: RNAcentral
UACAGAGGUCUCAAGCGUUGUUCGGAUUCAUUGGGCGUAAAGGGUGCGUAGGCGGCGAGGUAAGUCGGAUGUGAAAUCCCGGGGCUCAACCCCGGAACUGCAUUCGAUACUGCUUUGCUUGAGUACUGGAGAGGAGACUGGAAUUUACGGUGUAGCAGUGAAAUGCGUAGAUAUCGUAAGGAAGACCAAGUGGCGAAGGCGAGUCUCUGGACAGUUACUGACGCUGAGGCACGAAGGCCAGGGGAGCAAACGGG